AUGGGUUCUGAAACAGUGCCAAAAAUUCCUGUUGUUCAUUUGUCCAAGGAAAACUUCGAGCCUGGCUCUAGUUCCUGGCUGGCGGCUUGCAAUGAUAUCCGGCGAGCACUUGAGGAAUACAGCUUCUUUGAAGUAGUAUACAGCGAACCUUCAAUUGAACUUUACAGGGAAAUUAUAUCGGUGCUAGAGGAAUUGUUCAAUCUCCCUGAUGAAACAAAAACCAGAAAUACACAUCCUAAGAUCGGCCACGGUUACAUGGGGAAAAUCUCUGGCUUCCCUGAGGGCUUGGGGAUCGAGUAUGCAACAAAGAAAGAUGAAUGUCAAAAAUUUACAAGCUUAUGUGGCCCGAUGGAAAUGAAAGAUUCUGGUAAGAUCUGCAUAUUAUUAUAUUAUGAUUAAAUAUUUCUCUUUUUCCUUUUCCUUCGACCGAUCAUCUGAAUCCUUGCAUAUAGCUGUAUCCUCCUAUGCUAACAUUAAUGUGAGCUUAAUUAGUAUGAUUUACUUGCUUUUUGUUUGUAUCUUUAGUGAUGUCAUCCACUCUUAUACGAAGAUAGCAUCUGAACUAAAUCAGAUGCUGGUAAGGAUGUUGUUUGAAAGCUAUGGAUUGAAGAAAGACUACGAGCCUCUCCUAAACUCAACAAAUUACCUCCUACGUCUGUUGAAAUAUGGAAGAUCACUCGGGGAGACGAAUGUUGGUUUUAAGGCUCAUAUGGACAAGACUUUCUUCACUCUACUUUAUCAAAAUCCUGUUAACGGUUUAGAGAUAAGAACCAAGGAAGGAGAGUGGAUUACGUACGAGCCUUCUUCACCAACUUCAUUUGCUGUCAUAGCUGGUGAUGUAUGCAUGGUGGGUUUAUCCUAUUUCUUAUUUUACAAGAUUCCUAUUUCAAACGAUACACACACACACACUUAAUGGAUUCAUAACUCUUGAUCAUGAAUUGUGUUGUUUGAAUAGAAAAUCUUGGUUGGUGUUGUGUAGGCAUGGAGCAAUGACAGGAUAAAAUCUUCUUACCAUCGAGUCGUUGUAAGCAGCGAAGAAGACAGAUAUGCACUGGGGUUAUUCACAUUCCUAGAUGGGGUGGUGCAAACAGCAGAGGAGCUAGUAGAUGAUGAACACCCAUUACAGUACAAGCCCUUUGAACACCUGAAGCUUCUUGAUUUCUAUGAAUCAUCCAAUGAUCCGGAUAAACGUGACAUCAAUAUCAUGAAAACCUUCUGUGGUGUUUAAUACUCUAAAAUGGAAUGGGAUUAUGCUGCUUGACAUGUCUCCUUUUCUUUUGUUUUUCCUCGGUCGAUUGCUUUAAACCAGUCUUAUUUGUACCUCUUGGGUGAAUCUCUAAAAUGUAAUGGGAUUAUGCUGCUUGACAUGUCUCCUUUUCUUUUGUUUUUCCUCGGUCGAUUGUUUUCAACCAGUCUUAUUUGUAUCUCUUGGGUGAAUGAAGUGUUUAAUUAUUUGGUGAAGGCCAGGAGUCAUGUUCUACCUUGGGAUUAUUGAUCUUGUUUGCAAACAACUUUUAAUUUUGCGAUUAGAUCUCUGAAGUUUCAGAAAUUCUAAAUUUAAGCCCUUCCAUCAAUAUCUUUCUAUAUUGUUGUAGGAAUUAUUUAUUGCAGAGAAUAUUUAAGCCCUUCCAUCAAUAUCUCUAAAAAUAUUUGAAUAAUUUGAUAAAAAUUAACAUUACCAGAAAUUCAACUAAAACCAUCAGAAUUACCGACGCAAUUUUUCUAUUGGUAAUUUACGUCCAUCAGUUCAAUAAGACCCCAACAAAUUUGAGUCCAACAAAAGCUUUAGCCAAUUCAAGUCCAGUAAAGAUCUUGGAAGAUUCCUUUAAAUUCAACCCUAUUAAUUAGAAAAUCCAACUCUGUCAACAUAAAUGAGAGUCAACUCUUUAAUCAGGAAGAUCCAAGAAAAUUCAACCUACUACUCAAGAAAUUCAACCCUACCAUCAGGAAUUAGCGUCAACCUUACAAUCAAGAAGCUCCAUGGAAAUUCAGCCUUAUUAAUCAGGAAAUUCAAACAUGCCAUCAAGAAACAAUGGCAACUUUAUAAUCAUGAAGCACAAAGAAAAUUCAACCAAGAAAAAGUGAACCUUGCAAGCAAGAAGCACCAUAAUGUUUAGCCAGCCUUGUGCGGCGUCGCGGAGAUCGUCCACCCUUAAAAAAAUGGAAAUGGGUCUAUCUGGAAAAUAUAGAGACACAAAGAAUUUUUGUCUUUAUCAGUAAAAUAUGGAUUGGGAGUCGCCACCUAGUAUUCUAGUCACUAGAAAUCCUAACUGGUCUUAGAGAUCAGGUAUGAACACUGGUUGCGUAAAGGGAAGGUACUAGCACCCCAACUACGCCCUACCUAAGGUAAGGUGCAUUGUUUUGUCAGAUAAAAUCUAAAGUCUUGUUGUGGUUUCUAAUUGUCGGUCCGUUUACGGUUUAAGAAAAGUCCUCAUCUGAAAGGAGAUCCUUACCUUAUCGGGUAAAAACCUAACUACUCUAAGUCAUCAAAAGAAAAUACCUUUUUAAUAUCGGGUGUACGUUUUAUGUAUAAAUUCAUAAUUCUUGAUACUAAAACAAAACAAAAUAAAAAUUUUGUUGUUUUUGAAAAUUUGGCCAAUGUUCUCUAGACUUUAAUAAACUGGUUAUUAAAGCCAAAAUGUAUGCUUAAACAUUGUUUUUUGGUGUAUGAAAAACAACAUGAUAUGAUUAUUUUUAGCUUUGAGACACUUGGCUGCAUGCAUAGAAAACAUUAUUUUUUCUUCUUUUCAAAUUUGUUUUUGUAUUUUGAAAGUUUUGACAAAAACCAGGUAUUUUAAUACCGAAUUUUGUAUUUUUUCAAAAUAAAAUAUAGACUGAUAUUAAGCAAUAGGACAUAGAAAAUACAUUGGAAAAUUGUAAAAUCCCAAAAAAUAUUUGUUAAAUGUGUUUUUUUUAUUCUAGAAAUGGACUACUCCCGACCCAAAUCAGUGGGCUGUGCUAGGCUGGAUUCAGCCCAAAACUAAAGGGGUUAGUUACUGUGCGUAAGCACAGAAACCAGGCCCUACCUCAUUUGCUGGUAAGGGCGAAGCAAGAAUAAAAUAAACAGGGCAUCAGGAGGUUACCUGGGGUGGUGCAGCUUGAGCGUGGCCGUUAGUGGCGGUGACAUGGCAACCUCUCCCCUGUUUUCUCUCUUCUUCUGUCCAGAGGCAAGAGCCUUUUUUUUCUUUUCUUUCUUCUUCUACUCUAAGAGUUGCUGCUAGUGGUGGCAAUGGAGAGGAGGCGCAAUGGUGGCGCUGCUGGGUUAAAGGUGGCCGGUGGUGGUUCUUCUUCUACUCCAAUUCCCCAAACAUUUCAUCCUAAUAUGCUUCAAACAAAAUUAGACAGCAGGUUCGUCUUCAUAUUAGGGGUGUCUUCCAAUUCUAUCUACCCGGCCUUAAUUAAUUGUAGAAACUUUCUCUUGAAGGCGUUGCAGGUAUGGAUGUUAUGCCUAGCAAUACCAGCAUGGUAUUCACAAUUGAGUUCUAGCUUGUACCAAUUAGGAUAAGGUGGCUGUAGAGGUGUCAGAGGUUUUAGAGCAAUCUGCCUGAUGCUCAAUAGCUUUUGAUACAUCUCAUUCAGGGCUAGCGAUAGUGGAGGUAGUUACCUUUAUGGGAAUUUGCUUAUUUUAGAUGAUUUAAAUUUCAUUGAAAAAUUAAAUUAAUACAUUUAAAAGAAUUUCCAACAGAACAACUAAUUUAAUCCUAUAACUGAAUUCAAUUCACAAUAAAGAAAAUCUUCUUACCAUCGAGUCUGUAAGAAGGAAGCCCUUUUCCUUCUCCUUUCAACCGACAAAGCUCCCCUGCACUCUCUUUUCCCUGCCGCCAACCUCCAAACCACAACAGCCACACAUUGUCCCCACACACUUCGCCUCCAGCCGCUACCUCGCAGGUACGUCUUGCAAACUUUGAGAAUAUAUUCACAUGGUUUCUUAUCUUUAAUUGCGAUUAACUGUGAUGCUUGUGGUUUUUGACAAAAAAAUAUAAAAAUAUGUUUUUGUGUGUUGCAUACGGCCAAUACCCUAACAUGUUUUUUUAAUGUCUUAAAAAAAAAACAAAUAUUUGAACUUUCAAAAUUGUGUUUUCGCAUGGAUUUCUUAAACACAACAAAAAAAUUAUUUUCUUGCAUUUCUGGAUUUUACAACAUGUUUGUAAAACUCCAAAGGGUAUUGACCAAUAUUCCAAAAAAAUACAAAAAUCUUAUUUUGGGGGGAAUUCAUUUAUUAUUCACCGUUAAUGUUUGGAUAAAGAAAUCCCAAAGGGAUGAAUAUCCAAAAUAUUAUUAGGAAUAACUUGUUAUUAUUUACUGUUAAUAUUUGGAUAAAAAAGCCCUAAGCGGUAAAUAUCUAAAAUAAUUUUCUAGGAAUAAUAAGUCAUCAAACAUCCUUGAAAAAAGCCUUGAUUAUAAUUGAGGACAUUUUAAUUUUACUCCACGGUUUACGAGCCAUGAGAAUAUGAAACACUAAGGCAAAAAUAGGCUUUUAAAGUGCCUUGAAUUUCCUUAGAUUUCUAAUUUUUUUGUCCCUCCUCCUUGUGAUUUACGAGUCGCAAAACUCUUGAAAAACUAAGGGAAAAUUGAGCUUUCGAAGCACAUGGAAUCUCCUUGGAUUACUAUCCUAAUAAAUUUAGGUUGAAUCAAACCUAGAAAAAUUGAUGGGAUUACAAAACAUCAACACCGUAGCAAUUAUAAAGCAAACCAAACACUAAACAACUUACCUUAGGUAGGGCGUACUAGGGGUGCUAAUACCUUCUCUUUACGCAACUAGUCCCUUGCCUUAGAAUCUCUGAAAGACCAGUUAGGGUUCCUAGUGACCAAAAUACUAGGUGCUGACUCCAAAGAACCAAUCAAGCAAAAUAAUAAACGAAAAAAUCACCAUCGGAUGCCGCAUGGGUGACGUACGACAGAAUGACGACUCCGUUGGGACCUUAGACUAAGCUUGGUAAUUGUUUUUUUUUUAUGCUAUGUGUUGUUUUUUUUUUAAUUAUGAAUGAUACUUUGUUUAAAAGCUUUAAAAUGCAUCUAUACAUUAUGUCAUACAUGGUGUAGUCAUUCAUCACUUUAUUAUUAUUUUCUUUUUUGAGGGCACACACAUUAAAUUUUAAGUUAAGUGGGGGACUAAUAGCUUGCCUUGAUUGAGUCAAAGUUUAAGUUUGUGUAAACCCUAACGCUUUGUUGAGUGUUUAGACUGAUAGUGAUUGGUACAAGUGCCAUCCCACUAUCUGCUGAACCCCUAUAUUGCCUUUACGAGGGUGAUCACUAGGACAACAAGAGACUCUCGUUUAGAGACCAAGUAGUAAACCUACCCAAUGUCUCACAUAAAGGAACUAGAACCUAUCCUUAGGAUGUAUGCUCCAUAAUAUCUUUUUGCAUCCAACAAGCCUAAGCUCAAAGCAUCUUGAAUCUCAAGACUUCAUUCAAAAGCUAGCCAAGGGAGAGAUGUUCCAGAAUUGGGAGACCCAAAAAGUUCCAUUGGUUUCAAAAUUUAAUCAACAAUGCUUGUUUAAUCAUGAUAUUGUGUUGUUUGCCUUUUUCAACUUUUUAAAUCGAGGUUCCAAAUGUUAAUGGGAUUUUUAUGCUUUUCUUUUAGCCAACCUUUUCCUUUUAAUGAGAUCAUGUAUUUUCAAAAGUUCAUCUUGGUGUUUUUACACAUCACUUUCCUUUUCAAAGUGAAUCUUCCAUAACUACACCUACACUUUACACUGAGAAUGAAUUGCCAAACGUUAAAGAAUACAUAUUAGUUGUAAAAGAGGAAGAAUGGUAGGAAAAUAACAUUAGGGGAUUCAAAAAAAUUAAUAACAUGAACAAGCUUGGAUCAGGAAUUAGAAAAUCCAACUCUGUCAACAUAAAUGAGAGUCAACUCUUUAAUCAGGAAGAUCCAAGAAAAUUCAACCUAUUAGUCAAGAAAUUCAACCCUACCAUCAGGAAUUAGCGUCAACCUUACAAUCAAGAAGCUCCAUGGAAAUUCAGCCUUAUUAAUCAGGAAAUUGAAACAUGCCAUCAAGAAACAAUGGCAACUUUAUAAUCAUGAAGCACAAAGAAAAUUCAACCAGAAAAAGUAAACCUUGCAAGCAAGAAGCACCAUAAUCGUCCACCCUUAAAAAAAAUGGAAAUGGGUCUAUCUGGAAAAUAUAGAGACACAAAGAAUUUUGGUCUCUUAUCAGUAAAAUAUGGAUUGGGAGUCGCCACCUAGUAUUCUAGUCACUAGGAACCCUAACUGGUCUCAGAGAUCAGGUACGAACACCGGUUGCAUAAAAGGAAGGUACUAGCACCCCAACUACGCCCUACCUAAGGUAAGGUGCAUUGUUUUGUCAGAUAAAAUCUAAAGUCUUGUUGUGGUUUCUAAUUUUCGGUCCGUUUACGGUUUAAGAAAAGUCCUCAUCUGUAAGGAGAUCCUUACCUUAUCGGGUAAAAACCUAACUACUCUAAGUCAUCAAAAGAAAAUACCUUUUUAAUAUCGGGUAUACGUUUUAUGUAUAAAUUCAUAAUUCUUGAUACUAAAACAAAACAAAAUAAAAAUUUUGUUGUUUUUGAAAAAUUUGGCCAAUGUUUCUCUAGACUUAAUAAACUGGUUAUUAAAGCCAAAAUGUAUGCUUAAACAUUGUUUUUUGGUGUAUGAAACACGAUAUUAUUUUUUUAGCUUUGAGACUGGCUGCAUGCAUAGAAACAUUAUUUUUUCUUUUUUCAAAAUUUUUUGUUUUUGGAAGUUUGAAAAAACCAGGUUUUAAUACCAGAUUUUUAUUUUUUCAAAAUAAAAUAUAGACUGAUAUUAAGCAAUAGGACAUAGAAAAUACCGAGAAAAUUGUAAAAUCCCAAAAAAUAUUUGUUAAAUGUGUUUUUUUUUAUUAUGGAAAUGGGCCGCACCCGGCCUAAAUCAGUGGGCUGUGCUAGGCUGGAUUCAGCCCGAAACUAAAGGGGCUAGUUACUGUGUGUAAGCACAGUAACCAGGCCCUACCUCAUUUACUGGUAAGGGCGAAGCAAGAAUAAAAUAAACAGGGCAUCAGGAGGUUACCCGGGGGUGGUGCAGCCUGAGCGUGGCCGUUAGUGGCGGUGACAGUGGCAACCUCUCCCCUGUUUUCUCUUCUUCUGUCCAGAGGCAAGAGCUUUUUUUUUUUCUUUUCUUUUCUUCUUCUGCUCGAAGAGUUGCUGCUGGUGGUGGCAAUGGAGAGGAGGCGCAAUGGUGGCGUUGCUGGUUAAAGGUUGCCGGUGGUGGUUCUUCUUCUACUCCAAUUCCCAAACAUUUCAUCCUAAUAUGCUUCAAACAAGAUUAGACAGAAAGUUCGUCUUCAUAUUAGGAGCGUCUUCCAAUUCUAUCUACCCGACCUUAAUUUUUAGAAACUUUCUCUUGAAGGCGUUGCAGGUAUGGAUGUUAUGCCUAGCAAUACCAGCAUGGUAUUCACAAUUGAGUUAUGGCUUGUACCAAUUAGGAUAAGGUGGCUAUAGAGGUGUUAGAGGUUUUGGAGCUAUCUGCCUGAUGCUCAAUAGCUUUUGAUACAUCUCAUUCAGGGGUAGCGGUAGUGGAGGUAGUUGUUCUUGAACCCUUUGGUAAUUUCCAAUUUGGCUUUUAGCUUGAAAGUUUUGGGGUUCAUGAUUUUUUAUAUUGGCAAUUUGGGAUGGUGUGGUAGUUUUGGGAUGUUUUUCCUACCCUUGUAGCCAUCUUAACAUGAUGGACCUCUUUUCUCGAUGGGUGCAAAAAUUCUAGCACUUUUGACACCUUGCUCUAUGCAUUCACACACUACCACAACAUCAGUGAAUUGCUGGGCCGAACUACCCAUCACAUGUUCGUAAUAGGAUGCUUUGAGUGUGUUGGCUAAUAAAGAGACCAUCUUUUAUCUAAAAGUGGAGGAUGUACUUGAGCAGCUGAUUCCCGCCAUCUUUGAGCAUAUUCCCUUAUGCUUUGUCCUUUUUCUCUAGAUUGGACAAGUUGGUUUUGUCGGGAGCGAUGUCCAUGUUAUACUUGUAUAGCUUGACAAAAGCAUCCACCAGAUCUUUCCAGCUCUGAAUUUUUGUGUUGUCCAAUCUCAUGUACCAGCUCAAUGUUGCCUAACUUAAGCUGUCUUGGAAAAAGUACGUACUACUUCUGCCAUUUUAUUGCAAUAGGACUUGAGGUGAGUUAUAGGGCAUUGUGUUCCACUAUAUUUGAUGAACUCAGGAACACAAAACUUCUUUGGAAAAACCACGUUUGGGACCAAACACAUCUCUACUGCCCGUACCGGGUCAUAUAAGUCUACCCCAUUAAUGACUUUGAGUUUCGCUUCUAGUGCCUUUAUCUUAGCUUGAUCAAUGCUAUUAGAUGGCUUGGCCUUGUGGGACUGGUUAGCAGAUGCCUCCAUGGUUGUCGGGGCUGGUGCAGGUGUUACUGACUGCACAAAUGUUGGAUUUUCCUAAGGCUCUUGACCAUGUUCACACAUUCUUUCUUCAGGCUGAACUAUAGUAGGAGCCGGAUUAAAGGUGACGGUGGAUUAGAAGGACCUUCACCAAAGGUAUUUCUCAGUGUUUUGCUCGAGUAAGCUAGUGAGGUGAGCCACACUUGUUUUUAGAGACUCCAUCUUUUCUUGGAAAUAGGCAUCACGUUGAGUACGCUCUUCAACUUUCAUGCUUCUCGCUCUAAGUCGGAUGUUAUAGACUUUUUGGGGACCUAUUUUUCAAUCUGAUGCAUGUAUGUUAAAUGUAUGAAUAUGUAAUUUAUAUGAUAGACUUUCCCUUCGAGAGGUGACAUAUGAUCGUAACUCUUAUAUGAUGAAACAAGAAUCUUGAUUCUUGCCCACACUCUACAAUGAAAAUUUUAUGAGUGAUGAUCAUUAUAUCACCCGUAAGUCUUGAGUUCAAGAUGCUUCAAUAAGGGUUUGCCUUGUUGUAAAUAAAGAUAACACAUACAACCUAAGGACAUGUUCUAUUUAUUAUGUGAACAUGGGUAGGUUUUCUACCUGGUCUCAAAAGGGUCUCAUAUCUACUUAGUGAAGAUCUUCGUAAAGACAGUAUAAAGGCAUUGCGAGAAAUGAUUAAGGCACGUAUACCCACCAUUACCAAGCAGGCACUCAGAUAUGAGUUGGUUGUUUCACGCAUUUGAACCCUAACCAAUGGUCAUAGGGCAGAUCGCUAGUUCCCCACUUAACUUAGAAGCUUGUGUGUGCUUGCUUGCCAAAAAAUUAAAUCAUAUGAUGCAUGAGGCAAUUCUAUAUAAUGCAUGAACAAAUAUGUACAGAAAUUAAAGCGCAUAAGAAAUAAAUAAAGAAAAUGCAUAUUUCAAUAAACACGCAAACCACAACAAUAACACAAAAAUCACACAAAACAAAGCUUAGUCCACAAGCUUCCUAGUGAAGUCGCCAUUCUGUCGCACGUGUGCGGCAUCGUGGCGAUCGUCCACUCUCAAGGAAAAUGGAAAUGGGUCUAUCUGGAAAAUAUAGAGAUAAAAGGAAUUCUUGUCUCUUAUUAGUAAAAUAUAGAUUGGGAGUCGCCACUUAGUAUUUUGGUCACUAGGAACCCUAGCUGGUCUUAGAGAUCAAGUAUGGACACUGAUUGAGUAAAGGAAAUGUAUUAGCACCCCAACUACGCCCUACAUAAGGUAAGCUGCAUUGUUUUGUCUGAUAAAAUCUAAAGUCUUGUUGUGGUUUCUAAUUGUUGGUCCGUUUACGGUUUAAAAAAAGUCCUCAUCUAUAAGGAGAUCCUUACUUUAUCAGGUAAAAACCUAACUGCUCUAAGUCCUCAAAUGAAAAUACCAUUUUAAUAUUGGGCAUAUGUUUUAUGUAUAAAAUUGUAAUUCCUGAUACUAAAACAAAAUAAAAUAAAAAUUUUGUUGUUUUUUAAAUUUUGGCCAAUGUUCUUUUGACUUUAAUAAACUUGUUAUUAAAGCCAAAAUAUAUGCUAAAACAUUAUUUUUUGGUGUAUGUAAAACACGAUAUGAUUAUUUUUAGCUUUGAGACACUUGGCAGUAUGCACAAAAAACAUGUUUUUUUUCUUCUUUUCAAAUUUUUUUGUAUUUUGGAAGUUUUGAUGAAAACCAGGUAUUUUAAUACUGGAUUUUGUAUUUUUUUUAGAUAAAAUAAAGACUGAUAUUAAGCAAAAUUACAUAGAAAAUACGCGAGAAAAACUGUAAAAUUCCAAAAAAUAAUUGUUAAAUGUGUUUUUUUUAUUCUAGAAAUGGGCCGGACCUGGCCCAGAUCAGUGGGCUGGGCCGGAUUCGACCCAAGGAAUUAUUCAUGUUUUGCAUGCAAAUGGAGGCAAGGGUGAAGCAAGAAGAAAAUAAACAGGGCAGCAAGAGGUUACCUGGCGUGGUGCAGCCUAAGAGUGGCUGUUAGCGGCGAUGACGGUGACAAUGGCAGCCUUUCCCCUGUUUUCUCUUCUUAUGUGCAGAGGUGAAAGCCUCCAUUUUUUUUCUUUUCUUUUAUUUUUCUGUUCGACGAGCUGCUACUGCUGGUGGAAAUGGAGAGGAGGCGCAACGGUGGCGCUGCUGGGUUGAAGGUGGCCGACGGUGGUUCUUCUUCUUCUUCCUCUGUUUUUCUCCCUUUUUUAUGUCUUUCUGUUUUUGUUCUCUCUUUUUCUCUCAAUUUUCCUUUUUUUUUUCUUUCAAUCUCCAGACCUUCUUUGCUCUUUUGUCUUUUUUCUUAUCCUCCCCUGUUUUUAUAGGAAAAAACAGGGAGCGACGUGGCUCGGGCGGCCAUUAUGCUGCCGCCCCAUGAUUGCACGAUGGUCAUGUUCCCUCCUUUUUUUAAUGCCCAUGGUAGGCCACGGGUAGGUUAUACACGUGGGGCUAUGGUCGACACCUUUUUAUGCUUUUAAGGAAGAGAAGUUGGAGACAGAGGAAGAAAAAUCUUCUUCUUCCCCUGCUUCGUGCAUCCAGGGGAAGAAGAAGACCCACAUUGCCGUCAAAACAACACCGUUUUAGGUUUUUCCUUUAUUGUUUUUUUGUUUUUUUGUUUUUUGUUUCAUGAACAGUGCAUGAAACGGCACCGUUUUGAACAAAACGCGCCGUUUAAUUUAAAAGGAAAAGGCGGCAAAAACAUGUCAGAGUUCAGAUUGGUCCUUAAUUUGUGAUUUGUUCAAUCAAGUCCUCAAUUGCAAUUUUGAUUUAAUUAACAAUGCAAUUGCAUCCCUGCCAAAAAUCAAACAGCGAACCUAAAGUUAGCCACCUUUUUCACUUUGGUCCUUGGUCUUGAAUUAGUGCAAUUGGACCCUCAAUUGAGCAAUAAACUUCUAAUUUCUUCAAUUUAGCUCAUGAUCUGGUUUAAUUACAGCCCCUCUAUUUACGCAUCUUUUCCAAUUUGGUCCGUGGUUUUGAAUUUCUUCAAUUAAGUCCAUAAUUGGCCAUCAAACUUCAAUAUUUAUGCAAUUAAGCCUCUGAUUUGACCAAAUUAAAUCUAAAAAAAUUUAAUUUGAUGUCAGAACUUUAAUUUCCUCCAAUUAAAGCCCAAAUUAACUCAAAAAUCAUUUUUUGUUGCAAUCAAAACCUCCAUAAAUUCAAUUAAACCUUCAAUAAAAUUUAAUUGAGUCCAUAAACAUUUAAUUUUGGAAUUUUCUUUGUCAACAUGGCUCUCAUCAGUCAAUAAAAUACUGUCAAAUUUUAAUCUUUGUAUUCUUAAACCUCCUGAUCCAAUUUUUGACUAUUUUCUGAGCACUUUGGCAUCCUCUCAUGCUAUUAUUUUUUUGAUAAUAUUUUAUUAUUAUUUUAUUUUAUUUUAUUAUGUUUUAUGCGGAUACCCAAAAAUAGGUUACAACAUGCUUCAGAAUUUCUGAUUCAGAUUAUUGAGUUUCCAUACAUUUUUGCACAACUUGUAGCCUAUAGCAUCAUAGUCUAUUCAAUGACAUGAUUUGAAUGGACUGUUGCUAAAUUCUUGUGGUAUCUGUUCAGCUUUUAUGGUAUCUAUUGAAUGCACAUUAUUGCAGUUGCACCAAAUCACCACAUUGCUGCCAUAUUUCCUCAGCUACAUGUGAUUAUAAAGACAUGCUUGACAGUGGAAGAUCUUAUGGGAAUUUGCUUAUUUUAGAUGACUUAAAUUUCAUUGAAAAAUUAAAUUAAUACAUUUAAAAGAAUUUCCAACAGAGCAACUAAUUUAAUCCUAUAACUGAAUUCAAUUCACAAUAAAGAAAAUUUUCGAUAUGCAGUGGAAGAAGAAUUGAAAAGGCCCAGUAGUUUACAAUUUAAAGAGGUUUAAUUCGUGGGUAGCUAGCCUAUGUUCAUGUGCUAGGCAGAGCCGAAUCUUAAGUUUUCUUUUUGGGACUUCUUGAAAGACGAGGACAUGUUUCUUAAUUGAAUAGGGCACCACUUCUAGGACAAGGCCGAAUAGAUGGUGAUGGAUGAAAUGUAUGCAUAUUAAAGUAAAUAAAAAAUCAAAUCAAUUAAAUAUUAAUAAAUAAAAACAAAUUUAAUUAAACAAAUAACAAAAUUAGAACCCACCUCAAAAUAACUUAUGAUUCGGGUUAUAAGAUUAUAAUAGCUUUAUAAAAAACAUAUUGAAAUAAAUUAUGAAGUUUAAUUCGUAAAAAACUUAAUAUAGAUGAAAUUGAAAAUAAAAAUUAAAUAUUUAAUAAAAAAAACAAGUCAUCACAAUUCUAAUAAACAAGGGUAAAAGUGAAUUCUGUUUAUUAUAAUUAUAAUAUCAUAUGUAUAUAUUUAAGAUAUUGUGAACAAUAAUGUAAGGUUAUAUGUGGUAAAUAAAUAUGUAGUUAAAUAAUUAAGAGUUAUAAAUAACCUUAAACAAUAGAUUAAUAAAUUAAAAAUAUCUUUAGAUAUAUAAAAUUAUUAUAUAUACUGUAACACUGAAUACAAGAAUAAUUAGGCAUCAAGAAUUUUAUGCCAAGAAAAGAUUCCAAAUAACUUUGGCAUAAUAUGGACCACUUUGCAUCUAACUAUAAAUUUAUAUGAUAUUGGGAAAAUAAUAAAUUAUCUCCUUAGUUUCAAUACCUCAACAAUGACCCGUUAAUUAAUUUUAUAAUGUAAAAUUAAUAACAUAAUCACCACUAUGAAUCAAGGACCAUUACUUUUUUAUUCUUAGGGACCAGAUUUUGACCCUUCAAAUACAACAAUCAAAGCAUACGCAUUGGUGCACAUCUUGUCUUUGAUUUCAUAUAUAUUAAAAAAAAAUUGUGCCUAUAUAUAUAUAUUAUAUACACAUCCUUGCUCAAUCGGGGCCUACUUUCUUAUAUUUAUUAUUUUUAACGUUAAGGACCAUAUUUUUUUUUAUUUUCUAUGGAAUCAGGGACCACAUUUAGACCCUUCGCUACAAUUUAAAUCUCAUUGAGUAUAUAAUUAGAGAGAUACAAAUAUAUAUAUCUCCUUCCACUGCCUCAAUAAUGAUAUCAUAAUUGUCUAUUUUGGUUGAUGAGGUGUACCAAGAUUGAAUGGGAAACUUAACGUUAUUAUUACAUUCCAUCCAUUUCAAUCUACAUCAUAAAAAGCUUUGUAAUUGAUAUUUUACCUGCUCCAUGCAAUAAAUAAUAAUUAAAAAUUUAACGACUUCAUCAAACCUUUUUAUGAUAUAGAUUCAAUGAAUGGAAAUUCAAUAUAAGGUUUAAAAACUUUUAUAUGAUUAAAAGUUAUAUUAGUUUUUAAAGCAUUUUGGUCGUUGAUAGUAUUUUAUAAUUUUAGGUUAUUAAUGAAAUUUGAUAAUUUAACUAUGAGUUUCAUUGUAAAACUCAUGUUCUAGAUAACUUAGUUAUAUGACUCACGCGAUGCUACGGGUCAAUUUUUUUGCAUAAAAAAUAUCAAAAUAUACUAAGAUCUAAGAAUGUUAGGUCUUUCUACAAAGAUAUAUUCAAAAGCCUUGGGUCUAGCUACAAUGCUUGACCCAAUACUACUAUUUAUAAUAUUAAUAAUAAUAUUAAAUUUACAUGACUUAAGUUUAAGUGAGCCUGACUGCAACACCGAACCCAAGAGCAUUGGAUGUGGGUCUGGCUAUAAGGUCGUGUCAUAAAAGUGUGAUAAUUAAAUAGAUUAAUUAAAAAGAAAAAAAGCUCAAUAGGAAGAAAAAAACUAAUGAAGAAAAAGAAAAAAAGUUGAAUUAACUGGGUUAACCCGUCAAACCUGGGAUUCGCAUAAUGAAAGUUUGAUAACUAAAUAGAAAAAAAAAUAUUGACGGGUUUACCUAGAAUUAAUUGAGUUAACCUGUCAAACCAAGUUAACCCGUCAAGCCCGGAAUAUGUGUCAUGAAAGUCUGAUAAUUAAAUAUAAAUAAAUUUAACAUUAACAAACUAAACUAAAUGAAAAAAAUUAAUUAAAAAGAAAAAAAAUCCAGGUUAACCCGUCAAAUCAGGUUAACCCAUCAAACCCGGGAUCUGUGUUAUGAAAGUCUGAAAACUAAAUAAAAAAAAACAUUUAACAUUAAAAAACUAAAUUAAACAAAAACAAUUCAUUAAAAAAAAAAAACAGUUUAGGUUUCAUUUACUUUUUAGUAUAUUCUAUAAUAUAAUUAUAAUUAUAAUAUAAUAAAUAUAAUAAUAUAAUAAUAUACUAUAUUAAAAAUGAAAAAAGUGAAAGGCAUAGGGAAAACUACAGUACUUUUCCCAUGUCUUUUAGAGUAUUUAUUAAUUCAUUAUCAGCUUUAUAUUUUUAUUAUUAUUUAUAUAUAUGACGUGGGAUUUGUAGCUCACAAGUAAUAAUAUGUAUAAGAAAAAAUUAAUAAUAUAUUAAAUAUUAAAUCAUGAUUUCAGCAUCAAAUGAUGUUGUUGAUGAAAUCAUUUUAAUCCCACCAACAUUAAUUCUAUCUUAUGCAAAAUAAGUACUUUAAGUUAUUAUGUAAAUCAUCAUAAUUGUUUUAUUGAUUAUUGGGUUAGAUCUGAUGCACUUAUAUGGAAUGAGUUUGGUUCAAGAUUUUUUUUAUUUUGGUUAAAAUAUUGUUCUAUUUUGGACUCUUUACAAUCAUUUUCAACUAUUUUUGUUUAUUAAAUAUUUUAAUUAAUAAUAAUUGUUAUCAAAAUCUCAAACAGGUCUAAAUAUUAUACCAGAAGGGGAACACAUCAUGCACCUCCUCUCCUUAGGUCUUCUUAUCUAACAUUUUGAUAAAAUUUAAUUAUAUUUGCUUAUUUAGGACCAUAUAUAUAUAUACAAAUAAUUUUGAGAGGAAUAUCAAAUUUAAGAGGCCACUUAACUUGAUGGUGACGCCGCCCUAAACUUAAUUGUCCUAUCGUCUGUUGGUGAUUUAUUUAAGGAUGCAACUUGCAAAAUUAUGACUCUGUGUGAUAAAACUUUUGGCCUCUUACCUGAAUUUUUGAUAGGCAAAAUCUCAAUUAGUAUCUCCAAUGUGUAUGACCAUACAAGAACGCCAAAUAUAAAAAUGUAUUUUAAGAACCAUAAGCGAAAGCAUAUGAUAUAAUUAAUUACAGUUAAACCUUUAUAAAUUAAUAUCUUCGGAUGAUAAAUAUUGAUUUCUUAAUUAAGAUAUUAUUUAUUAAUUGAUCUAUGGGACAGAAGAGGGAUACAAAAGCAAAUGGUCUAUCAAGGCUUAUUGUGGCGUCUGAAAUUAAAGGGAAAAAUGGAUUUGUACAAUAAUUAGUUGAUGCACUCUUCUGCUUGCUGUAUAAGACCUGUUUCUAUGUAUUUUGAUUCCAAUGCCAGUGUUUUUUUUUUGUUUUUUUAAAGGUUGAUUGUUUAUUUUUUUGUUUUUUUUUGUGCUUGCAUUUCAAAAUGUAUUAAUGUUGCGUACAAGAAGCAAUUUAAUUAAAGCCAUAUGUGGUUAUGGUUAGAAAACUGUUGUUGUUGAUGAUUAUUAUGAUGCCAUAUCAAUAAUCAUGUUGUUCUAUAAUCUUUCACAAGCAUGAACAUAGUCCAGGGCUGGUUCAACAUGAAGUGCUCGUUGGUCCUGUCGAGAAAGUCCAGGUUAAUUAUCCAAGUGAUUUAAUGAGCUGAAAACUAUAAAAUAUAUGGGGAAAUACAACAAAUUAAUCAUUUUAAAUGAAAAUGAGAGUCAUCCUUCCUUGCUCUCUCAAAUAGAUCAAAAAAGUAAGAUUAAUGUAUAAUCUUAGUAUUUGAUCCUAUAUUUUCUUGAGAGACAAAAAAUACAAAUUUAAAUAUAUUGAUUCAUUUUAAAUAUAUUUGGAUAUAUGAUAAGAUAUUAAAAUAAUAUAUUUUUUAUUUUAAAAAAAAUUAUUUUCAGGAUAUUAAUUACACCCUUUAUAUAUAAACUAUACAUAAGAGUUAUCUUGUGAUGCAAACAAACAUAACAAUGACCCUAUAAAUAAACUGUUUGGUCGCUGUAUUUGGUUUCAAAACUUUAAAAUAUUUAUACUUCGUACUCGCAUUGUUUACCGCAGCACUAUAUGUACUACUCAUAAAUAAAGUGCGAAUUCACGCCUCAACUACGACCGGCAAGUCAUAGCUUCAAGAUGUGCAUACCGUAUUUUUGGUUACUUAUUUGGAAUUAAAAAAAAUCGAGAAUAAUGAUAGAAUUAUAUUUGAUUAAAGUACAAAAAGACAUGUGUAUAGCAGUUAAAAUAGAAAAUAAAUGAAGAAAUAUGUAUUGUAUCUUUUUUUUUUCCCGGAAUGGUUACUAAAUACUAUCUAAAAUCACAUUUUCUCAUGGUGUUCAUAUGUAUGAUAGUUGUCAAGGCUUAGUUUAGAGUCUAAUCAGAAAAAAAAAAAUAAAAAAAGUUAUUGAAUUAUUUUAUUAAUUUGUGAGUUACUAUGUCAAUCUAUGUAAGAUAUUUUUUAAAAUAAGAUAUCGUUUUAUUUUCUUUGCAAGUCUUUUAAAGCUAGCUACUUUGUAAGUUAUUGAAUUUUUUUAAUUGAUAUUUUUUAUUUGAUUUAUUUUUAAUAUUAAAUUAGUUGAGAAAUGGAUUUUAUAAUUUAAUUUAUUUUGUUUUUUUAUAAGGUUAUUACAAUUUCAAAUAAAAAUUUAUAUUUAGAGUUUGUGCUUGAUUUUACAAAUAUAACUUUUUUCUAUAAAUAAAUAAAAAUAGUAUAUAUAGAUAAUAAAAUUAUUAAACUAAGUAGAGUUUAUAAUUUAGAUUAUAAGAUGAUUAAGGUCAAUUCAAAAUUAUAUCAUCUUAAUAUUUUUUAAAUAUUUUUUUUUAAUUAUAUUUUUAUUGAUUAUUUAAAUUAUAUUUUGACCCAUGUAACCCAAUAAUUAUAUCCAAUAUUUUCAUUUGUCUUGUUAUAGGUCGUUGCGAUACUAACAGUAUAAAUUAUGGAUGGGUAAAACACUAAAUUGUGCACCAUCUCAAACACACUCCAGCAAGAGAGAGCGACGACAACAAUCAUGGGUUCUGAAACAGUGCCAAAAAUCCCUGUUGUUCAUUUGUCCAAGGAAAACUUCGAGCCUGGCUCUAGUUCCUGGCUGGCGGCUUGCAAUGAUAUCCGGCGAGCACUUGAGGAAUACAGUUUCUUUGAAGUAGUACACAGCGAACCUUCAAUGGAACUUUACAGGGAAAUUAUAUCGGUGCUAGAAGAAUUGUUCAAUCUCCCUGAUGAAACAAAAACCAAAAAUACACAUCCUAAGAUCGGCCACGGUUACAUGGGGAAAAUCUCUGGCUUCCCUGAGGGCUUGGGGAUCGAG
This 17480-nucleotide long non-coding RNA is filed under the name Populus tremula. RNAcentral's name for it is "long non-coding RNA (PTRE_LNC000109)". The record is from RNAcentral. Lineage: Eukaryota; Viridiplantae; Streptophyta; Magnoliopsida; Malpighiales; Salicaceae.